RNAcentral lists this ribosomal RNA (497 nucleotides) under uncultured bacterium. Its description in RNAcentral is "partial 16S ribosomal RNA". It matches the Rfam family "Bacterial small subunit ribosomal RNA", at positions 28 to 507 of the family's 1533-position model. The record is from RNAcentral.
GAUGAACGCUGGCGGCGUGCCUAAUACAUGCAAGUCGAGCGAACAGACGAGGAGCUUGCUCCUCUGACGUUAGCGGCGGACGGGUGAGUAACACGUGGAUAACCUACCUAUAAGACUAGGAUAACUUCGGGAAACCGGAGCUAAUACCGGAUAAUAUAUUGAACCGCAUGGUUCAAUAGUGAAAGACGGUUUUGCUGUCACUUAUAGAUGGAUCCGCGCCGCAUUAGCUAGUUGGUAAGGUAACGGCUUACCAAGGCAACGAUGCGUAGCCGACCUGAGAGGGUGAUCGGCCACACUGGAACUGAGACACGGUCCAGACUCCUACGGGAGGCAGCAGUAGGGAAUCUUCCGCAAUGGGCGAAAGCCUGACGGAGCAACGCCGCGUGAGUGAUGAAGGUCUUCGGAUCGUAAAACUCUGUUAUUAGGGAAGAACAAAUGUGUACGUAACUAUGCACGUCUUGACGGUACCUAAUCAGAAAGCCACGGCUAACUACGUG